RNAcentral lists this long non-coding RNA (382 nucleotides) under Setaria viridis. Its description in RNAcentral is "long non-coding RNA (SVIR_LNC004410)". Lineage: Eukaryota; Viridiplantae; Streptophyta; Magnoliopsida; Poales; Poaceae. The record is from RNAcentral.
UUUGGGUUCGGCGGGGUCCGGAACUGGGGGAGCGGUGGAGAGGGGUUGGAUCUCAGGGGUCUGGACCGAACUGGGGGUUGAGCACUUCAACUUGGGGAGAUGAGGUAGGGGGAUGGGGGACUCGGAUUAAGAUUAACUCAAGAGAUUUGGGGUCGGUCGUCACAAGUUUGCCCAACUCUUUCUUGAUUGCUUCCCUUUUGUCUUCAGUGAAUUGACGUAGUCGUUGUCACUUGGGCGUAGCUUUGGGAUCUACAUUGAGUGAGUGCUCGAUCAACUCGCUGGGCACCCACGCAUAUCACAUGGCUUCCAUGCAAAGAUGUCUCGGUUGGCUUGGAGGAACCUGAUGAGUGCGUCUUCCUAUUUGGAGUCUAGCCCCAAACCA